UACAGAGGGGGCAAGCGUUGUUCGGAAUUACUGGGCGUAAAGGGCGCGUAGGCGGCCUUCUAAGUCGAACGUGAAAUCCCUGGGCUCAACCCAGGAACUGCGUCCGAGACUGAAAGGCUUGAAUCCGGGAGAGGGAUGUGGAAUUCCAGGUGUAGCGGUGAAAUGCGUAGAUAUCUGGAGGAACACCGAUGGCGAAGGCAGCCUUCUGGGCCAACACUGACGCUCAUGCACGAAAGCGUGGGGAGCAAACCGG
RNAcentral lists this ribosomal RNA (253 nucleotides) under uncultured bacterium. RNAcentral's name for it is "partial 16S ribosomal RNA". It matches the Rfam family "Bacterial small subunit ribosomal RNA", at positions 524 to 776 of the family's 1533-position model. The record is from RNAcentral.